This 536-nucleotide unclassified non-coding RNA is filed under the name Sipha flava (yellow sugarcane aphid). RNAcentral's name for it is "trimethylguanosine synthase-like, transcript variant X1". Lineage: Eukaryota; Metazoa; Arthropoda; Insecta; Hemiptera; Aphididae. The record is from RNAcentral.
AUUAAAAUUUUUUAUUUAUUCUAUAUCCAUUGAGAGAUUAGAAACAUUGUUAGGUUGAUAACUGAUGUGUAAAAAAAAAUGGAGAUCUACAAGUUAACUGUUUGUGUAAAACAUUACAAAUGACUGGUUCGAAAUUAUCAAAAAUGUAUUUCUAGUCUAAUAUGGCUCGGGCAUAGCUCUUGCGCAUCUAUUAAUACUAGAACGUGAUUCGUUUAGACAAAGUUAAUCAACAACGUUAAGACCGUUAAAAUACACGAAAUGACGUACUUCGACAAAUGGAUUCAUGAAGUUUCAGAUCCAGAUCAGUCGAUUACUAAGGGAUCUCGUUUUAAACAUAGACAAAAAACACUUACCGUUCAACUAAUUACUUAAUUCAUUCAAAGUGACUGUUAUGAUUUAUUAUAUAAUUUCGUAGAAGAAACGGAUUUGAUGGAGCAAUGUAAUAAUUACAUAUAGAUUCAAUAAAAUACAUCAAGAUGAAGAAGUUAACGCCAGCUCACUGAACAUGAAAUACUUAAUCAACGAUAUUGAAGAUG